Molecule: ribosomal RNA, 255 nt
Filed under: uncultured bacterium
Lineage: Bacteria
Description: partial 16S ribosomal RNA
Rfam family: Bacterial small subunit ribosomal RNA
Source: RNAcentral
GACGAGGGAUCCUAGCGUUGUUCGGAAUCAUUGGGCGUAAAGCGGGUGUAGGUGGCUUUGUAAGUCAGGUGUGAAAGCCCAGGGCUCAACCCUGGAAGUGCAUUUGAUACUGCGAAGCUUGAGUGCUGGAGAGGUAAGUAGAAUUCCUGGUGUAGUGGUGAAAUACGUAGAUAUCAGGAGGAAUACCGGAGGCGAAGGCGGCUUACUAGCCAGACACUGACAGCUCAGAACCCGAAAGUGUGGGGAUCAAACAGG